This 315-nucleotide ribosomal RNA is filed under the name Triticum aestivum (bread wheat). Its description in RNAcentral is "partial small subunit ribosomal RNA". The record is from RNAcentral. Lineage: Eukaryota; Viridiplantae; Streptophyta; Magnoliopsida; Poales; Poaceae.
AAAGGUUUAGAAGUGGCCGUGGACAAUGUGUUCCCUGGAGUAGAGCAUAGGGAAUGCAUGCGUCACCUUGCUGCAAAUUUCAUGAAGAAAUUCAAAGGAAAGGUGUAUACCGACAAUUUAUGGCCAGCAUCUUUGACAUGCAGUGUGAAGAAGCACAACUACCACUUGAGGCAGUUAUACAUGAAUCCCAAAGUGAAAGAAUACUUGGAAACACACCACUCCAAGUUAUGGGCUAGAAGCCAAUUCAGUGAAGUGAGCAAAGUUGACUAUGUGCACAAUAAUCUAGCAGAGUCUUUCAACUCAACGAUCCGGAAA